CCCCGCCACCUUUUCUUUUCUUGCUGGCAGCAACGGCAGAGAAUGAGAUCGGAUGAGAAACAAAAGAAUCCAGAAUGUCUCAAGAACUCCCACACAUCAACAGUAAAGAGAUGAAAAUUCCAACUAAAUGUGCAAAAGUCAUGACUAGAUGUUGUCCAAAAGAAGAAUCUGAAUGGGCAAUAAACGCGCCAGGGUGCUCAA
Molecule: non-coding RNA, 201 nt
Organism: Ictidomys tridecemlineatus (thirteen-lined ground squirrel)
Lineage: Eukaryota; Metazoa; Chordata; Mammalia; Rodentia; Sciuridae
Source: RefSeq, a predicted model, not a curated record